This 458-nucleotide long non-coding RNA is filed under the name Linum usitatissimum (flax). Its description in RNAcentral is "long non-coding RNA (LUSI_LNC001631)". The record is from RNAcentral. Lineage: Eukaryota; Viridiplantae; Streptophyta; Magnoliopsida; Malpighiales; Linaceae.
AUUUAUAAGAAUACGAGUAGCUUUUAAUCGAGAAAUAUAUAAAUACUAUUUCUUUUGUUUAAUAGAUUCAUUGACUAAUAAUCAAUAGUAACCUGAACUCUUUUUUUAGUAUUCUUUUCUUAUUAAGAAUUCUUUUGGGGUACUAGAAAAAUGAGAAAGUAGAUUGGGAAAACAAGAGAAUAAAAAAGAACUACCACUCUAGAAAAAUUCUUAAAACAUUUUAUCUUUUUAGAUUUCUUGAUAGAUGUAUACUAUAUAAAACGAAAGAAUUCACAUGAAAAUUUUAUUUGAAUAAUUUGUAUUCGUAUUGUAUGCUUACGUUGUAAACUGUAUCAAUUUGUAUAUCAAAUAUUCAAAUCAAGUAAAGAAUUCAAGUAAAAAAUCUUUGGGAAAGUUCAAAUAUCAGGAACACCCUUUUUAUUUUUCUAUAAUAUAUUGGACGGAAUAACUACCUAAUU